RNAcentral lists this ribosomal RNA (2172 nucleotides) under human gut metagenome. RNAcentral's name for it is "bacterial LSU rRNA". It matches the Rfam family "Bacterial large subunit ribosomal RNA", at positions 708 to 2758 of the family's 2925-position model. The record is from RNAcentral.
CCUGGACCCGAAGCGGGAUGAUCUAGCCCUGGGCAGGUUGAAGCGCGGGUAAGACCGCGUGGAGGACCGAACCCACUUAGGUUGAAAACUGAGGGGAUGACCUGGGGCUAGGGGUGAAAGGCCAAUCAAAUUCCGUGAUAGCUGGUUCUCUCCGAAAUGCAUUUAGGUGCAGCGUCGGUCGAUUGCGUCGCGGGGGUAGAGCUACCGGAUGCUUGCGGGCCCUUGUUGGGUACCAACAGCAGCCGAACUCCGAAUACCGUUGACGUGUAUUCCGGCAGUGAGUCGGCGGGGGAUAAGCUCCGUCGUCGAGAGGGAGACAGCCCAGACCGUCGUCUAAGGUCCCGAAGCGUGUGCUAAGUGGGAAAGGAUGUGGAGUCGCAUAGACAGCCAGGAGGUUGGCUCAGAAGCAGCCAUCCUUGAAAGAGUGCGUAACAGCUCACUGGUCUAGUGGUUCCGCGCCGACAAUGUAGCGGGGCUCAAGCACACCACCGAAGACGCGGCAGCAAUCUUCAUGGUUGCUGGGUAGGAGAGCGUCCUGCGAGGGGCGAAGCGGCCGGGUGACCGUGCCGUGGACUUCGUGGGAGUGAGAAUGCAGACAUGAGUAGCGAGAGACGGGUGAGGAUCCCGUCCGCUGGAUGACCAAGGGUUCCGGGGCCACGUUCGUCGUCCCCGGGUGAGUCGGGUCCUAAGGCGAGGCCGACAGGCGUAGUCGAAUGGAUGAACGGGUGGAUAUUCCCGUACCGACCAUGGACCGGCAAAACCGAGACGGUGAGUACUAACCUCCGCCUCGUGGUGGUUCCUUCCUUCGGGUUGGUUCCGCCGCGUGGUGUUGGGAGCGUAGCCGUAGUAGGUCAGCGCAGGGGUGACACGGAAUGGGAGCCGGCCGCGGAGGUGGUUUUCCGUGGUCAAGCACGCAGCCCGUCGCACAGGCAAAUCCGUGCGGCGUGUGGGCGAGGUGCGAUGAUGGGGCCCCUAUGGGCCGAUAUCCGGUGAUCCCUGCCGUCGAGAAAAGCUUCGGCGCGAGGGCCAAUGCCGCCCGUACCCCAAACCGACACUGGUGGUCAGGUAGAGAAUACCAAGGCGAUCGAGCGAAUCCUGGUCAAGGAACUCGGCAAAUCACUCCCGUGCCUUCGGUAUAAGGGAGACCCGCUGGGGUGAAGGACCUUGCGUCCGGAGCUUUGGUGGGUGGCACAGACCAGGGGGUAGCGACUGUUUACCAAAAACACAGGUGCAUGCGAAGGCGAAAGCCGCUGUAUAUGCACUGACGCCUGCCCGGUGCCGGAAGGUUAAGAGGAUCCGUCAACUCUUCGGAGCGAAGCGGUGAAUUCAAGCCCCGGUAAACGGCGGUGGUAACUAUAACCAUCCUAAGGUAGCGAAAUUCCUUGUCGGGUAAGUUCCGACCUGCACGAAUGGCGUAACGACUUCCCCACUGUCUCGACCAGGAGCUCGGCGAAAUUGCAGUACGAGUAAAGAUGCUCGUUAAGCGCAGAAGGACGAAAAGACCCCGGGACCUUUACUAUACCUUGGUAUUGGCGUUAGGCGCGGAUUGUGUAGCAUAGGCGGGAGGCUUCGAAGCGUGGGCGCCAGCUCAUGUGGAGCCGCAAGGUGAAAUACCGCUCUGUUCUCGUUUGACGUCUAACCUCGACAAGUCAUCCUUGUCAGGGACAGUGCCUGGCGGGUAGUUCAACUGGGGCGGUUGCCUCCCAAAGAGUAACGGAGGCGCUCAAAGGUCCGCUCAGCCCGGUUGGCAAUCGGGUGUCGAGUGUAAUCGCACAAGCGGGCUUGACUGCGAGGACGACGGUCCGAGCAGGGACGAAAGUCGGAGAUAGUGAUCCGGUGCCGGCGCACGGGCGCGGCAUCGCUCAACGGAUAAAAGGUACCCCGGGGAUAACAGGCUGAUCAUUCCCAAGAGUCCAUAUCGACGGGAUGGUUUGGCACCUCGAUGUCGGCUCGUCGCAUCCUGGGGCUGGAGCAGGUCCCAAGGGUUCGGCUGUUCGCCGAUUAAAGCGGCACGCGAGCUGGGUUCAGAACGUCGUGAGACAGUUUGGUCUCUAUCCUCUGCGCUCGUUGGAAUCCUGAGGAGGCCUGCCCAUAGUACGAGAGGACCUGGGUGGACGAACCUCUGGUAUGCCGGUUGUCGCGCCAGCGGCACGGCCGGUUGGCUACGUUCGG